GAUGAACGCUGGCGGCGUGCCUAAUACAUGCAAGUAGAACGCUGAAGGAGGAGCUUGCUCUUCUGGAUGAGUUGCGAACGGGUGAGUAACGCGUAGGUAACCUGCCUGGUAGCGGGGGAUAACUAUUGGAAACGAUAGCUAAUACCGCAUGACAACAGUUAUUGCAUGAUAACUGUUUAAAAGGGGCAACUGCUCCACUACCAGAUGGACCUGCGUUGUAUUAGCUAGUUGGUGAGGUAACGGCUCACCAAGGCGACGAUACAUAGCCGACCUGAGAGGGUGAUCGGCCACACUGGGACUGAGACACGGCCCAGACUCCUACGGGAGGCAGCAGUAGGGAAUCUUCGGCAAUGGACGGAAGUCUGACCGAGCAACGCCGCGGGAAUGAAGAAGGUUUUCGGAUCGUAAAGCUCUGUUGUAAGAGAAGAACGAGUGUGAGAGUGGAAAGUUCACACUGUGACGGUAUCUUACCAGAAAGGGACGGCUAACUACGUG
This 495-nucleotide ribosomal RNA is filed under the name uncultured bacterium. RNAcentral describes it as "partial 16S ribosomal RNA". It matches the Rfam family "Bacterial small subunit ribosomal RNA", at positions 28 to 507 of the family's 1533-position model. The record is from RNAcentral.